GCAUUCGUGGCCGAGUGGUCGAAGGCACCGGACUCAUAAUCUGGCUUCUUAGUAACAUCACUGGUUCAAAUCCAGUCGAAUGCA
RNAcentral lists this transfer RNA (84 nucleotides) under Climaconeis sp. RNAcentral's name for it is "tRNA-Met". It matches the Rfam family "tRNA". From Rfam's summary of the family: Transfer RNA (tRNA) molecules are approximately 80 nucleotides in length. Lineage: Eukaryota; Bacillariophyta; Bacillariophyceae; Naviculales; Amphipleuraceae. The record is from RNAcentral.